ACCCAGGCGCUCCGGGAUGGCGCUCCGCGGGACCCUCCGGCCGCUCAAAGUUCGCAGGAGGCGAGAGAUGCUGCCGCAGCAAGUUGGCUUCGUGUGCGCGGUGCUGGCCCUGGUGUGCUGUGCGUCCGGCCUCUUCGGCAGCUUGGGGCACAAAACAGCUUCUGCUAGCAAACGUGUCCUGCCAGACACGUGGAGAAAUAGAAAGUUGAUGGCCCCAGUGAAUGGGACACAGACAGCCAAGAACUGCACAGAUCCUGGUCCUUUUACUCCUAAUGAGGAGAGUGAACAUGAAAUUUAUCAUCCAAACUGUGACACUUUUGAUAGAAGGGGAUACUAUUCAUUAUACUGGACAGCAGAUGUGAAUCAGGACUGUCCUAGAGAAACCAGAGGAUAUAAAAGAUCCAAUAAUGACAACUGCUAUGUUAUUCAUAAGAGUUCAUUCAUACAGGAGUUGUUUUCAUGCUUGUGUUUCAUGAAUAAAGGGUCAAUCAAGUCAACCCAUAAUGAGGGCUGAGUUGUUUUUCCCCAAAAGAUAUGGUGGAGUCCUAACCUGGUAUUUGUAAAUGUGACCUUCAUUGGAAAUAGGGUCUCUGCAGAUGUACUUGGUCGAGAAGAAGUUAUGCUGGAUGAAGGUGGGCCCUAAAUUCAGUCACUGGUGUCCUUAUAAAAAGUC
RNAcentral lists this long non-coding RNA (673 nucleotides) under Pan troglodytes (chimpanzee). RNAcentral's name for it is "lncRNA (ENSPTRG00000053109.1)". Lineage: Eukaryota; Metazoa; Chordata; Mammalia; Primates; Hominidae. The record is from RNAcentral.